GACGAACGCUGGCGGCGUGCUUAACACAUGCAAGUCGAGCGGUAAGGGCCCUUUCGGGGGUACACGAGCGGCGAACGGGUGAGUAACACGUGGGUGACCUGCCCCUCAGCUCUGGGAUAAGCCUGGGAAACUGGGUCUAAUACUGGAUAUGACUCCACGGUGCAUGUCGUGGGGUGGAAAGCCUUGUGCGGCUGAGGAUGGGCCCGCGGCCUAUCAGCUUGUUGGUGGGGNGAUGGCCUACCAAGGCGACGACGGGUAGCCGGCCUGAGAGGGCGACCGGGCCACACUGGGACUGAGACACGGCCCAGGACUCCUACGGGAGGCAGCAGUGGGGAAUCUUGCGCAAUGGGCGAAAGCCUGACGCAGCGACGCCGCGUGAGGGAUGACGGCCUGGUUGGUAAC
Molecule: ribosomal RNA, 402 nt
Filed under: uncultured bacterium
Lineage: Bacteria
Description: bacterial SSU rRNA
Rfam family: Bacterial small subunit ribosomal RNA
Source: RNAcentral